RNAcentral lists this ribosomal RNA (492 nucleotides) under uncultured bacterium. Its description in RNAcentral is "bacterial SSU rRNA". It matches the Rfam family "Bacterial small subunit ribosomal RNA", at positions 32 to 532 of the family's 1533-position model. The record is from RNAcentral.
AAUCAACGCUGGCGGCGUGCCUCAGACAUGCAAGUCGAACGAUUAAAGCUCUCUUCGGAGAGUGUAUAGAGUGGCGCACGGGUGAGUAACACGUAAGUAAUCUACCCUCGAGUGGGGAAUAACAACCGGAAACGGUUGCUAAUACCGCAUAAUGCAGCGGCACCGCAAGGUGACAGUUGUUAAAGAUUUAUCGCUUGAGGAGGAGCUUGCGGCAGAUUAGCUAGUUGGUAGGGUAACGGCUUACCAAGGCUACGAUCUGUAACCGGUCUAAGAGGACGGUCGGUCACACUGACACUGAAUAACGGGUCAGACUCCUACGGGAGGCAGCAGUCGGGAAUUUUGGGCAAUGGGCGAAAGCCUGACCCAGCAACGCCGCGUGAAGGAUGAAGUAUUUCGGUAUGUAAACUUCGAAAGAAUAGGAAGAAUUAAUGACGGUACUAUUUAUAAGGUCCGGCUAACUACGUGCCAGCAGCCGCGGUAAGGCACGACUGU